This 233-nucleotide long non-coding RNA is filed under the name Hordeum vulgare. RNAcentral describes it as "long non-coding RNA (HVUL_LNC001267)". The record is from RNAcentral. Lineage: Eukaryota; Viridiplantae; Streptophyta; Magnoliopsida; Poales; Poaceae.
UUAAAAUAAUUUUAAUAUUCUUACAUAAUAAAAGACCACUAACGAUUUAAAAAACAUAUUUAGAGACAUGUCUUCUUCGAAAUUAUUUUGUUUCAAAGCUCGAUGUGGUGCAUUCUUUUCUCAUAGACUCGCCUCUCGGUAGGAUAGUGUGCCGUCAAUGAUGUAGUGUUUUCCACCAAAUCAUACCAAAGAUCAAGUGUUGGUUGUAUAGUUAAGUUGAUGGAAUAAAAAAA